This 18-nucleotide transfer RNA is filed under the name Phasmatidae sp. NC4. RNAcentral's name for it is "partial tRNA-Leu". The record is from RNAcentral. Lineage: Eukaryota; Metazoa; Arthropoda; Insecta; Phasmatodea; Phasmatidae.
UUUUAACUUUUAUUAGAA